Cronartium quercuum f. sp. fusiforme G11 is the source of this 84-nucleotide non-coding RNA. The record is from the annotation of a GenBank genome assembly. Lineage: Eukaryota; Fungi; Basidiomycota; Pucciniomycetes; Pucciniales; Coleosporiaceae.
CCUGAUAUCGUCUAGUGGUUAGGACACCAGGUUCUGAUUGUUUGGACUUUCCUGGUAACCGCGGUUCGAAUCCGCGUAUCAGGU